UUUCCGCAUUGCCACACUCUCCCCUCCUGGAAGUAAACAACCCAUGGUUGUUAAAAGAGAAAACGAAUUAGAAACCUAGGAAUUCUUCAUCAUCAGAGGUUUCUUGAAAUAAGUUAAGGAGUUUGUUUUUCCUGGGACUCCAAUUCCUCUGCUGUUGGAUAGCAUGGUUUGAGGUUGCACACGUGUGCUGUGCGGACGUCCUCUCCAGUGUCUUCCAACGUUAUCUGAUAAUUCAACGGGCCUAACCGCUUUAAAACCCGUUGCACUAGAUGGUGGACAACAUCAUAUGAUGGUGUGGAUGGCGAAAGGCUCUGAACUUGGAGUAAUUUAUCCAUGGGGCUUUUCCCUAUUUGGAGUUCUGCAGGGGACAUCCCAAUGCUUUCCUGCACAGCUGAAUUAAUUGCAAACCGGAGUUCAGGUAAAUGUUGAUCCCACUUCUUGUGGUUGUCAUCCACGUACGAGGCAAUCAUGCAUUUUAGGGUCCGGUUAACUCUCUCAGUCAUAUUCGUUUGGGGGUGAUAUGCUGUUGUUAAUUUUUGGUUGAGAUUCCAUUUUGCACACAGCUCUUUGAAUAUGUUGGAAACAAAUUGGGUACCACGGUCAGACAAGAUGAAGUCUGGAACACCCCACCGGGUAAGGAUUUCGGUCCUGAGAAUCUUCGCUAUGGUUUGUGCAUUUGCACGGCGCAUGGGAAACAACUCAACCCAGCGAGUGAAGUAAUCCACAAAAACCAGAAGGUAUUCAUGACGUUGUGUGCUGCUUGGCAACGGCCCCAUUAUGUCGACACCCACCAUUUUGUUGGGUUGCGAGAUGGUAAUGGGUUGUAGCUUCCCAGCCGGUUUCUGGUUUUCACUUUUAAGUGUUUGACACUUUAUACAGUGCUUAACAUAAUUUUUGACAUCAGUCCACAUCCCUGGCCAGAAAACAACAUCUUGUAGUCGCUUGUAGGUUUUGUAGAUACCUCCAUGGCCGCUUAAAGGAUGGGAAUGGUAGUGAUGAAGGACAGCUGGAAUAAGACUGCUAGGCAGGUACACUCUGUAGUGAACUUGGCCAUUUGACAGGUGGGUCUUGUGAUAUAAUCUGUCCUCCACAACUUCAUAUUUGUCUUUUAGAUCACUGUUAUUGUCCUCUGCCAAUGCUUUAAAAACAUUUAUGAUCUCAGGAUCUUUCUGUUGUUCCUCCCAUAUUGACAACAGAGACUGGAAACUCAAUAUCCUCCUUCUGGCUGGAGUACAAGCUGCAACAAGGGCCCAUCUAAUGAGAUGGCUGGUGGUUUUUGGGGAACUUAAGACCCACUGUAGUGCAGAAUGGUCAGUGACUACGGUGAACAUCUUGUGCUCCAGCACAGAGUCCGGAAUCACUGGCAUCGGUGUACAUGAUGAACGGAAGUUGGAGAUCUGGAUGGCCAAGGAUAGGAGUGCAUUGAUGGGUUCAGCGAUCUUGGAGAAAUUUGGGACAAAGCGGUGAUACCAUCCAGCUAGUCCAAGAAAACGCUGGACCUCUUUGAUGUUCCUUGGCACAGGGUUUAUGGUCAAUCCAGCUUCCUGCAGUCAAUUGAGAACAGUUUGAAGGUCCUUGAAGUGCUGAGCUACAGAUAGUGAGCAACGUGCCACGUGGGGCGUGCGCGCGUGCAAACGCCCAACACAAACAAAGAGUGAGGAGAUGCAUCGCGGCUACUGUUCGUUUCUGGAAGACGCGCCGAGUAAAAGCAGGAUUUCCCUCGAAAGAAGAACACGAUUUCAUCCAGCAGAGGAGAUGAAUACCAGCACCAGAUGUAUCCUGAUGUCUCUUCAAACUGGUUUCCUCUGAGAGCGCUGCACCAACAUCAGAUGUUCAACUACACUGAUAUUCUAUGUCAAAACAAGCUCCUUCUCUACUGAUUAUGUUUUUUUCUUCUUGAAUCCAUGGAAAGAAGUAGAAACACUUAAAUAAAACACGUAAAUAUCAGGUAUAAUUUACUUGUUUCACUUGUUGAACAGAAUCUGUUGCAGGAAUGACUCAAAGUCUGUUCACAUCUCUGUGGUUAGAUCAGUGUGCACAAUAAUGUGUCUUUGACCUUCAUUAUGUAUGUUUUG
Onychostoma macrolepis is the source of this 2075-nucleotide long non-coding RNA. RefSeq lists it as uncharacterized. Lineage: Eukaryota; Metazoa; Chordata; Actinopteri; Cypriniformes; Cyprinidae. The record is from RefSeq and is a predicted model, not a curated record. The transcript is spliced from 7 exons.